Molecule: long non-coding RNA, 591 nt
Organism: Peromyscus californicus insignis
Lineage: Eukaryota; Metazoa; Chordata; Mammalia; Rodentia; Cricetidae
Exons: 2
Source: RefSeq, a predicted model, not a curated record
GGAUCCUCAUGAGACUGAUGUCUCCCAGCUGCGCGACUGUCCGCGCUCUCGUUCCACCAGAGAACAUGGACUGCAGAGGUAAAUCAGAAGUUAGCUGUAAUUCUCAUUAACAGGUCUCUCUGAACUUGGAACUUAACUAGACUAGGUGGCCAGGCUCCUAUUUCCAUCUUCCCAGGGCCGACACAGUAGAUGGUGUGUGCCACUGGAGCCCACUUUAAUAUGGGUGCUAGGGAUAAACUCGGGUCAUCAUCCACUACAGUCAUCUACCCAUUCGAGAGCACAAGGGAGCUAUCACCAACCAGGCACAGACACUGUUUCUAGACCUUUUAUAUCUAAUAAGUCUUUAGUCUUGGCAUCCCUUGGUCAUUUAUGGAACACUAUUACUUCAAUAAUGAAAAAUAGGUAAUUUUUUUUGGCUUUGUCCAUAUUUUUUGCCUUUAUAAAAUAUAUAUAUUUACUUUUUCAUUCAGAAACAACCUCUUUACUCCAAUGAUGUUAUUUUGAAAAAAAAAAAACAUAACAAGACAUUUACAAAAAAGGUGAAAAGAAUUAAUAUUUUCUUAAAGAUUUUUCCAGUUUCUAGGCAACAGC